Molecule: transfer RNA, 72 nt
Organism: Ovis aries (sheep)
Lineage: Eukaryota; Metazoa; Chordata; Mammalia; Artiodactyla; Bovidae
Rfam family: tRNA
About the family: Transfer RNA (tRNA) molecules are approximately 80 nucleotides in length. Their secondary structure includes four short double-helical elements and three loops (D, anti-codon, and T loops). Further hydrogen bonds mediate the characteristic L-shaped molecular structure. tRNAs have two regions of fundamental functional importance: the anti-codon, which is responsible for specific mRNA codon recognition, and the 3' end, to which the tRNAs corresponding amino acid is attached (by aminoacyl-tRNA synthetases). tRNAs cope with the degeneracy of the genetic code in two manners: having more than one tRNA (with a specific anti-codon) for a particular amino acid; and 'wobble' base-pairing, i.e. permitting non-standard base-pairing at the 3rd anti-codon position.
Source: Rfam
UACCUGGUGGCUCAGAUGGUAAAGCAUCUGCCUGCAAUGUAGGAGACCCAGGUUUGAUCCCUGGGUUGGUAA